AUUACGCCAAGCUUCUCUGGGCAGCAUAGCACUGAGGUUGUUCACAUAGCUCCUUCACGUUCAUGUUGAGAGACGUGCUCAAAGUCGGAAGAAAGAACUUGAUUGCUCUGUACAACAGAUUCAGUGAAUAUCGUUGGCAUGUAUUUAGAUGGCAUUUUCACUGCAAUGCCUGGUGGAGACACCUUAAGCGCAUCUUUUGUGAAAGUUGGUCGGUCCAUGGAAACUACCAGAUCACUCCUGUUUCUUUAGCUGUUCCUAGUGGAGAAGUGCAACGUGUUUCUGAGUCAGCAAAGAGAACUCAGCACACUUCCCAACAGCCAGAGGUGCAGGCUCGGAAAAAAGACAAGCAAACCACUAGUGAGCUAAUAACAGUAGACAGAAAGGAGGAAGAUCAAAGUGAAGCAGCUUGAAACAAAGGGCCAGGUGGACACCAGAAUGAAAUGCUGAGCACUCUCUUGCUUUGGUGAUGGGGGAAGACAGCUUCAGAGCAAACGCUUGCAUGGGUUGAAAGCCACAUUCACAACAGUAGCUGCUGAUGUCAUGAAUGUCACUAAGACUGCAGUGGGCUAUCACAAGGGUGGUACAGCUCCUUCUUUUAAUCUGUAUCAGGUCUACGCUGAAGCUAUUACGUCAUGAGAAGUAUCAGAGACAUAAGUCCUGCAAAGCCAUAAUCUGUGUGAAGGCUGACGUGCUUCAAAAGCAUGGACAGGAAA
Molecule: long non-coding RNA, 713 nt
Organism: Grus americana (Whooping crane)
Lineage: Eukaryota; Metazoa; Chordata; Aves; Gruiformes; Gruidae
Exons: 4
Source: RefSeq, a predicted model, not a curated record